RNAcentral lists this long non-coding RNA (1250 nucleotides) under Homo sapiens (human). RNAcentral's name for it is "HSALNT0403729". Lineage: Eukaryota; Metazoa; Chordata; Mammalia; Primates; Hominidae. The record is from RNAcentral.
CCAACUUUGGGCAAGAGUUUAUCCCAAAGUCAUUUGAUCAUAGACCAGUUGCCAAAGGAGAUCGAAAGGUGGUAACAGCUUGGGGAUGGUUCUGGAACAGAAGUCCCCCAGUGAGGGCCCUGCCUGAUCCAACACCACGUGACUAUUUCCAUCAGAUGAGAUGACAGAGGGGCUUGCGUCUUCCCUUGCUCCCUCUGCAUCUUGGAGUUGAGGACCAUGAGGUGCCACUGUGGGGAGAUGAAUACCAGCCAUCAGCAGCCUCCGCCUCUGCCAGCAAGUCAAGGGGUGAGCGAGCAGCCACUGAGAAUCACAGGUGCAGAGUCACCAGGCAGUUCCUUGAGAAAGAGGAGUCAAAUCCAAAAAGGACAUUAGUUGAGACUCUGAAGACCAUCCCUAUUUUGGGAAAGCUCAAGAUGGGUGGCAGCAGGACCCUGGUUCCCAUUAAGGAGGCCUGAGUUUCCAGCUGCUCUGCUCCCAUUGCAGCAAGGCAAUGGACAUUUGAAUAAGGGAAUCAAGAACCCUGCACAGCACUCCUGUUCUGGGGCCCAGGACAUUGACUACAAAGAACCAUGUUUUCCAAUGUGUGGUGCCUGAAUCAGCAUUGAGAUCAGCAUUAACCGGGAACAUUUUCAGAAAGCAAAUUUUCAAGCUGCCUUCUUUCCUCCUCACCCAUCGAGACCUGUGAAGUCAGCGAUAUGUGUUUUGCGAACACAUAAAUCUCCUUCUAGGAGAUUCGGUAUGUGAUAUACCUGUAAAACACUGCUUAGACUAUUAAACAUAUUGAUCCAUCAAACAAAUAUGGAAUAGUUUCAUGAACCACUUUUAUGAGUUAGAUUUGGGAUGGAUGAAAGAAAACAAUGAUUUUAACAUGCAUUUAUAUUGUAUUUUAUGAUUUCACUGUUUCUUAUUAGAGCUUCAGAAAAUCUCAGGAAUUAGAUGGGGUGGUUACAUCUUCUGUACAACUUUGCAGUUGAGGCACAGAAUGUGGUGUUAGUAUCAAAAGUUAGACAAACAAUAUGUAGAUUUCAGACCACAGUUCAAAUCUGAUUUUACUACUGUGGUCCUUCCAUUGUAUUACCUAGUAACCAAAUUACACUCUAAUAAGUGAUAAAACCAGAAAUGUAAGCAAGUCUAUGCAAGGUUGGGUUAUAUUCUUGAACGUCUUAUACACUUCAUUGAAGAAAAUAAAAAAAAACCACAUUAGUAAAUUUUUCACUUUUAAGGUCAACACUUUGCUCUUCUACCUAGUG